Gallus gallus (chicken) is the source of this 1407-nucleotide long non-coding RNA. RefSeq lists it as uncharacterized. The record is from RefSeq and is a predicted model, not a curated record. The transcript has 2 exons. Lineage: Eukaryota; Metazoa; Chordata; Aves; Galliformes; Phasianidae.
GGGCAGAGACAACCAGCUGCACCCUAUUUACCAUGUCCGUUCCUCCGUCCAAUCUCAUCCUUCUUGAAGACACUCCCGCCGCUGGGAACGCACUUUUCUGCCCACUCGUCCUUUAACUUCAGUUCUUCAAUCUGCUCGUCCGUCAGCCCUUGCAUAUUGAGCGGCAAGUACGCACCGUGCUCCGCCAGCUCCUGCAUCUCUUCGUCAAGCGUUUAGAGCACAAGUUCAGCCUGAACAAGAGGAGGUACAGCAGUGCCAGUGCAGCAGCGAGCUUGUCCUGCGUUGUCUUGUGGCCUGGCCGUUUUACCAAGGACUGUGGUUUGCAUCACGCUCAUUUCACAUAGCAGUCAGAGCAUUUCCAAGGCCAGCACUACCUCCUCGCUCUGCCCAGUGACUACAGCCCGCCAGGUCUCUGCCAGCCCUCCAAAGGAGGGCUACAGCCAUCUCUACCCCAGAGCAACAACUGAGAGCUGCUCUGGUAAACAGGGCCCCAGGGAAGCAUCCAUCACGAGAAAAGGAAAAGGUGAGUUCUUAAGGGCAGGUAUGUUUAUUUUGUUAAUACAACACCGUCUUCCACAGGGUAUAUACGGAAUGUUGUACGCCACUGAGUUUCAAUACUGCAGUUCUGUAAAGUAUACAGCCAUAGAUAUUGUGUGCCACAAGCAAUAAAACUGUUACAUUUAACAGAGCAGUUUACCACAGGGAACAUGGAAUUUGUGUAAAUGUGUUGAGCGUUUCUAUUUUUAAUUCUUAGUAAUGUUCAGAACUUCUGCUAGUAAUUCUUUUCGUUAAUACACGUUACAGUGGUUAGCAAUAUAUAUAUACACACACUACAGUUUUGGAACAGUUCUCGUGAUCUUUGCAGUACUUUGCUGUCCAUCUCCGUAAUCCUGUAUAGUGCAGAGGUGCUGUAUACCAGGUGCAUUUUAGACAGUAGUUUUCAAUCACUGUAAUUAAAUAUUCAACAAAGAACAUAUUUAUCACGUAACUCCCACUAGGAAAAAGUUUCCCCCCAAAAUGUUUUGCUAAUGUAAGAAUAUACCAAAACACUGAUCACACAGAUGUUUAUAGCAACAGUGUAAAACAAGGUAAUCCACAUACCGAAGCACAAAGGUUAGAGUACCACUGCUGUUUAAAAUGUACAAGUACUGUUUAAUGAGCUGAACAGAAAAAAAAAAAAGCACGAUAUAAAAUUCACUAUAGUCACUCCUCUAUCCAACUGCAGCUCAUGGCUAACCAGACAGUGUUAAAGGAAGAGUGGAUCGUUUUAUAAAUAACCUUCCAAUAGCAUUUGAGGAUUUUUUAAAAGUACUGUCAUUGUGUGUUUUGCUGCUAUAAAUAUAAUGCUAAUAUGUUGAGUUUCGGUCACUGGUUUUGCAGAACCAGUAUGGCUUGUUUGCAAGGAAA